CAGUCGCCGCGGUAAUACGAAGGGUGCAAGCGUUAAUCGGAAUUACUGGGCGUAAAGCGUGCGUAGGCGGUUUGUUAAGUCUGUUGUGAAAUCCCCGGGCUCAACCUGGGAAUGGCAAUGGAUACUGGCAAGCUAGAGUGUGUCAGAGGAUGGUGGAAUUCCCGGUGUAGCGGUGAAAUGCGUAGAGAUCGGGAGGAACAUCAGUGGCGAAGGCGGCCAUCUGGGACAACACUGACGCUGAGGCACGAAAGCGUGGGGAGCAACCAGGAUUAGAUACCCCUGUAGUCCCUGUCUCUUAUAC
This 301-nucleotide ribosomal RNA is filed under the name uncultured bacterium. RNAcentral's name for it is "partial 16S ribosomal RNA". It matches the Rfam family "Bacterial small subunit ribosomal RNA", at positions 509 to 807 of the family's 1533-position model. The record is from RNAcentral.